CGGCGUGUGGAGCGGUACUUCGGCGUCCGGGCCGCCGGGGAGCGCCCCCGGGAGCGGAGGGCGGCGUUCGACCCGCGCCGGGCCGA
This 86-nucleotide transfer RNA is filed under the name Streptomyces echinoruber. Its description in RNAcentral is "tRNA-Pro". Lineage: Bacteria; Bacillati; Actinomycetota; Actinomycetes; Kitasatosporales; Streptomycetaceae. The record is from RNAcentral.